RNAcentral lists this ribosomal RNA (253 nucleotides) under uncultured bacterium. RNAcentral's name for it is "partial 16S ribosomal RNA". It matches the Rfam family "Archaeal small subunit ribosomal RNA", at positions 474 to 727 of the family's 1478-position model. The record is from RNAcentral.
UACCAGCACCCCGAGUGGUCGGGACGAUUAUUGGGCCUAAAGCAUCCGUAGCCGGUUCUACAAGUCUUCCGUUAAAUCCACCUGCUUAACAGAUGGGCUGCGGAGGAUACUAUGGAGCUAGGAGGCGGGAGAGGCAAGCGGUACUUAGUGGGUAGGGGUAAAAUCCUCUGAUCCAUUGAAGACCACCAGUGGCGAAGGCGGCUUGCCAAUACGCGCUCGACGGUGAGGGAUGAAAGCUGGGGGAGCAAACCGG